UUGGUACUGAAACGCAGUGAAAAGUGGAAGUGUCGUGCUCAGUUUGCGCCACCAAAAGGGCACACUUUGAAUUUUAUCCAACUCAGAGCCAACAUCAUGGCGUCGUCAUAGAAGUGAUGGGAACAAGGAAAGGAAAGGGAAGUAAGCAUCCUCCAAGGACCCUUCAGAUUACAGAACUCCAAGGACUAGAGACAUAACGUUUCUUAAACGUUGGAGCGCGCAACAUCCACCGUCGUGCGCGGGAAAACUGGGCGUGAGAGGCGAUCGAUUGAGCAUCAGGGGCUUGCUGAAUCCCCACCCCUCGUGCAUCCCUUCUGUGUCUGUGUCACAACCCGCUGCUGUCACAUCCUAGGCAUCGUCCUCUGUCAACAAGAUGCGCGAUUGCUAAAAAAGUGCACCAUUGAUGAUCGUGCGAUGCUUCCUGCUAAUUACCGCAGCCGUCUGACCUCUCCCGACGGGAUCGACAAGAUUCAUCUGCCAUCAAAGCAUUAAUCUCGUCUGUCAAUCGCCGGUCGAGCAUUAAAACCCUGUUAUCGCCCCCUUCGUAGUUCGAAGCAAACUUCGAUAAAAAAGGAAAGAGGAAAGUGCGCCCAGAUGGACGGAGGAUGGAACAGACAACUUGUUUUGAACAUUUCUAAAUUAAGAGGAAAUAAUCGAGGAACAUUAAAUAAUAUCGUCGCUUCACGUUAAUGCUCUACAUCUACCCUGUAGAUCCGAAUUUGUUUGAAAUCAGGCGACAAAUUCGGUUCUAGAGAGGUUUGUGUGGUGCAUACAAUGCAACGUGACUAUAAUAAAAAUAAGUGCUAGUGUUACUAACAGUAUCAUAAUUGAAAGAACUGUUCUAUGUAGAAAACACAAAUUGUAUGAAUUGAAUGAAUGAAGAUUUAACAUAUUGCUAUUGUCAAUACUA
Molecule: long non-coding RNA, 910 nt
Organism: Zophobas morio
Lineage: Eukaryota; Metazoa; Arthropoda; Insecta; Coleoptera; Tenebrionidae
Exons: 5
Source: RefSeq, a predicted model, not a curated record